AAAUUAUAAUAAGGGUGUUUGGUGGAUGCCUAGGCAACAAAAGGCGAUGAAGGACGUGAUAGACUGCGAUAAGCUACGAGUAGGUGUCAAUAACCGUUUAUUCGUAGAUUUCCGAAUGGGGAAACCCAUCAAGUUUACUUGAUAUUUUAAGAUGAAUAUAUAGCCUUAAAAAGCGAACCUGGAGAACUGAAAUAUCUUAGUACCCAGAGGAAAAGAAAUCAACCGAGAUUCCGCUAGUAGUGACGAGCGAACGUGGAAAAGGCCAGUCUUUUAGUAAUUAUAACUAGAAUAUUUUGGAAAAAAUAACUGUAGAAGGUGAUAGUCCUGUAUAGGUAAAAAAUUAUUAAAAGCAUGAGUAAAGCGGGACACGUGAAAUCCUGUUUGAAUAUGGGGGGACCACCCUCCAAGCCUAAAUACUAUUUGUUGACCGAUAGUGAACCAGUACCGUGAGGGAAAAGCGAAAAGAACCUCGAUAAGAGGAGUGAAAUAGAACCUGAAACCAAACACUUACAAGCUGUCGGAGCAUAAUUCUUUUUUCGGAAAGAAGACGUGUGACGGCGUACCUUUUGUAUAAUAGGUCAGCGAGUUAGUGUAUCUAGCAAGGUUAAGUCGUUAGAUGUAGCCGCAGCGAAAGCGAGUCUGAAUAGGGCGAAUAUAGUUAGAUGCAUUAGACCCGAAACCGAGUGAUCUAGCCAUGAGCAGGUUGAAGUUGGGGUAAUACCCAAUGGAGGACCGAACCCAACAAUGUUGCAAAAUUGUGGGAUGACUUGUGGUUAGGGGUGAAAGGCCAAUCAAACUCGGAAAUAGCUGGUUCUCCGCGAAAUCUAUUUAGGUAGAGCGUUGUUCGUUUAUCAUUAGGGGUAGAGCACUAGAUAGGCUAGGGGUGUCAAAAGCCUUACCAAACCUAACUAAACUCCGAAUACUAAUGAAUAUAGAACAGCAGACAGGCUAUGGGUGCUAAGGUCCAUAGCCGAGAGGGAUACAGCCCAGAUCAUCAUCUAAGGUCUCUAAGAUAUAAUUAAGUGUGAAAGAAUGUGAAGACGCCAAAACAACUAGGAGGUUGGCUUAGAAGCAGCCAUCCCUUAAAGAAAGCGUAACAGCUCACUAGUCUAAUAGCGACUUUGCGCCAAAAAUGUAACGAGGCUAAAUUAUACACCGAAGAUAUGAGUUUAUAGUAUUUAUACUAUAAGCGGUAGCGGAGCGUUGUGUAAGUCUGUGAAGGUGAAUUGUGAAAUUUGCUGGAGACAUCACAAGUGAGAAUGCUGACAUGAGUAGCGUAAAGGAGUGUGAAAAACACUCCCGCCGAAAGUCCAAGGGUUCCUGUGUAAAGUUAAUCUGCGCAGGGUUAGCCGGCUCCUAAGAUGAGGCUGAGAAGCGUAAUCGAUGGGAAUCACGUAAAUAUUCGUGAGCCUGCUAAAAGUGACGAAAUUUAGAAGUUGUAUUGUGCUAUUGGAUUCAUAAUGCAGCCAAGAAUUUCCAGGAAAUAGCUUUAGCAUAUAGACCGUACCCCAAACCGACACUGGUGGACAGGUAGAGUAUACUAAGGCGUAGAGUGAAUAAUGUUGAAGGAACUAGACAAAUUACAUCCGUAACUUCGGGAAAAAGAUGACCUAGUAUAGGCAACUAUAUCUAGGUGGCACAAACCAAGGAGAAACGACUGUUUAUCAAAAACACAGGGCUCUGCAAACUCGAAAGAGGAAGUAUAGGGUCUGACGCCUGCCCAGUGCUGGAAGGUUAAGGUAAGAUGUGCAAGCUUCGAACUUAAGCCCAAGUAAACGGCGGCCGUAACUAUGACGGUCCUAAGGUAGCGAAAUUCCUUGUCGGGUAAGUUCCGACCUGCAUGAAUGGCGUAACGAUUUCUCCAUUGUCUCCAACAUUAGCUCAGCGAAAUUGAAUUCUCCGUGAAGAUGCGGAGUCCCUGCGGUUAGACGGAUAGACCCCGUGAACCUUUACUAUAGCUUUACAUUGAUAUUAGGAAUUAGAUGUGUAGGAUAGGUGGGAGACAUUGAAGCUACGGCGCCAGUUGUAGUGAAGUCAUCCUUGAAAUACCACCCUUCUGAUUUUUGAUAUCUAACCAAAAACUGUGAAUCCAGUUUUGAGACAGUGUAUGGUGGGUAGUUUGACUGGGGCGGUCACCUCCUAAAGAGUAACGGAGGUGUGCGAAGGUAAGCUCAAGCUGGUCGGAAAUCAGCCCAAAGAGUGCAAUGGCAUAAGCUUGCCUGACUGCGAGACUGACAAGUCGAGCAGAGACGAAAGUCGGUCAUAGUGAUCUGGUGGUUCUGCGUGGAAGGACCAUCACUCAACGGAUAAAAGGUACUCCGGGGAUAACAGGCUAAUGAACUCCAAGAGUCCAUAUCGACGAGUUCGUUUGGCACCUCGAUGUCGGCUCAUCACAUCCUGGGGCUGAAGAAGGUCCCAAGGGUUUGGCUGUUCGCCAAUUAAAGUGGUACGCGAGCUGGGUUCAGAACGUCGUGAGACAGUUCGGUCCCUAUCUGCCGUAGGUGUAAGGAAAAUUGAGAGGAUCUGACUUUAGUACGGGAGGACCAAGUUGGAUAUACCUCUGGUGUAUCAGUUGUUCCGCCAGGAGCAAUGCUGAGUAGCUAAGUAUAGAAGGGAUAACCGCUGAAAGCAUCUAAGCGGGAAACCCACCUCAAAACUAAUUUUCCCUAUAGUGCCGUGAUAGACUAUCACGUUGAUAGGCUGGAAGUGUAAGUAAAGUAAUUUAUUAAGCUGACCAGUACUAAUAGCACAAUUGAAUUU
RNAcentral lists this ribosomal RNA (2760 nucleotides) under Candidatus Aquarickettsia rohweri. Its description in RNAcentral is "23S ribosomal RNA". It matches the Rfam family "Bacterial large subunit ribosomal RNA". Lineage: Bacteria; Pseudomonadati; Pseudomonadota; Alphaproteobacteria; Rickettsiales; Candidatus Midichloriaceae. The record is from RNAcentral.